This 408-nucleotide ribosomal RNA is filed under the name uncultured bacterium. RNAcentral describes it as "partial 16S ribosomal RNA". It matches the Rfam family "Bacterial small subunit ribosomal RNA", at positions 28 to 526 of the family's 1533-position model. The record is from RNAcentral.
GACGAACGCUGGCGGCGUGCUUAACACAUGCAAGUCGAACGGAGUGACGAACGGGUGCGUAAGCCGGGGGUGAUCGGCGUUACACUUCGGGAUAAGCUUGGGAAACUGGGUCUAAUACCUGAUAGUGCAAGAUGAGCGCUCGGCCUAUCAGCUUGUGGGUGGGGUAAUGGGCUACCAAGGCGGCGACGGGUAGCCGGCCUGAGAGGGUGUACAGCCACAUUGGGACUGGGGUACGGCCCAGACUCCUACUGUAGGCAGUAGAGGUGAAUAUUGCACAAUGGGCGGAAGCCUGAUGCAGCGAAGCCGCGUGGGGGAUGAAGGCCUUCGGGUUGUAAACUCCUUUCGACAGGGCCGCGGUACCUGUAUAAGAAGCACCGGCUAACUACGUGCCAGCAGCCGCGGUAAUUC